AUGUCUUUAAGUUUCUAUGAAAAGUAUGAAAGACUAAUUCGCGAAUUCUGGUGGGGUCAGGAAGAUGGCCAUCACAAAGUGCACUGGAUGGCAUGGGACAAGUUGACAAAACCAAAGCGAGGAGGAGGGAUUGGGUUCGGAGACAUGCACAUGUUUAAUCAGGCCCUUCUGCGUGGACAGGGAUGGAGAUUACUCCAGAAGCCUGACAGCUUAUGUGCGAAGGUAUUGAAAUCAAAGUACUACCCUAAUGGUGAACUUCUGGACACGGUAUUCGCCUCAGACGCGUCACAAUCAUGGAGGGGGGUUGAAUUUGGCCUUGAGCUUUUAAAGAAGGGGCUAAUUUGGCGAGUUGGAAAUGGUAAAAGCAUCCAAAUCCAAAGAGAUCAAUGGAUCCCGAGGCAGACGGGACUCAAAACAGCAAGCUUUAUACGCAGGUCUAGAUUACGCUGGGUCAAUCAACUCAUCGAUCCCGGCCUGAGGACCUGGAACCGAACGUUGCUAAACCAGAUAUUCAAUCCGGCCAGAGAGACCGAGGACUGCAUUGCUCAGCAUCCUGAAAAAUCCGACAUGUUUACAGUCAAGAGUGCUUACAAGCUUGCUAUGGCUCUUAAAGGUCGGGCCCACAAACAUCCAGCUCCUCGGCCGACAUAG
This 651-nucleotide ribosomal RNA is filed under the name Triticum aestivum (bread wheat). RNAcentral describes it as "partial small subunit ribosomal RNA". The record is from RNAcentral. Lineage: Eukaryota; Viridiplantae; Streptophyta; Magnoliopsida; Poales; Poaceae.